Molecule: non-coding RNA, 102 nt
Filed under: Clostridium colicanis DSM 13634
Lineage: Bacteria; Bacillati; Bacillota; Clostridia; Eubacteriales; Clostridiaceae
Description: Purine riboswitch aptamer
Rfam family: Purine riboswitch aptamer
About the family: Riboswitches are metabolite binding domains within certain messenger RNAs that serve as precision sensors for their corresponding targets.
Source: Rfam by way of RNAcentral
UAACAAGUAAAUAAAUUCAUUCAUAUAAUCCUAAUAAUAUGGUUUAGGAGUCUCUACGUAAGAACCGUAAAUUCUUCGUCUAUGAGUGAAUCUUUGUGGAAU